CACUAAUGUCUUAUUUUGGGCUGCUAUAACAAAAUACCAUAAUUUAGGUGGCUUAUAAAUAACAGAUCAGGUGCCAGAAUGAUCAGGUUCUGAUGAGGAGCCUCUUCCGGUGCUGACCUCUAGCUCUGUGUUAUAGGCUCACCUGGCAGAGAGCAGAGAGAGGGCACGGCUCGCUGGUAACCCUGACAAGAACAUGAAUCCUGGAUGAGAAGACUUAUCUGGAGCCCUUCUAACCCUAAUUAUUUCCCAAAGGCCCCAUCUUCUAAAACUACCACAUCAUGGGGCAUAAGGUUUUGACAUAGGAACUUUGGGAGGACACAAAUGUUCAGCUCAAAACAACCAGUCACAAAGGCCCUUCACAUCAUGUAAGCACAGACCCCCACGAAACCUGGCUCUAUCCCCAGUGGGAUACAAAUAGAGGAAAGAGCAAUGAAAAGAGGAAACUCAUCAGUGGGAGUUCUCUGCACAGAAGAAAUAGAAGAGAAUGAACAGCUGCCAGUUUAUGCUGAGCUCCCGUGAGAAUCAGAAAAAUCAGAAAGUUCCCUACUUCUGUCUUGAUGGUGCGCCAGGCAGACGACGGUUUGCGCCUGAUUCCUGGCUUGAGGCUGCAGAGUGGACAGAAAAGGACUCUGUCUCCGGUUCAACAGGAACCUCCUUUAGCUUCUCCACCAUGAUGGCUCAGGUCCCCUUAUGACUACCUAGGAGCAGACAACUUCACCCAGUAAGAAUCUGCUUUCUCCUGAAGUCAAUAAAAUCUAGCUUCAUGUAAAGUAUGCUUUUUUUUUUUUCAAUAGUUUGGGUCUAGUCUCAGAGAAAAAUAAUCCUGGC
RNAcentral lists this long non-coding RNA (828 nucleotides) under Capra hircus (goat). RNAcentral describes it as "lncRNA (ENSCHIG00000007114.1)". The record is from RNAcentral. Lineage: Eukaryota; Metazoa; Chordata; Mammalia; Artiodactyla; Bovidae.